Molecule: ribosomal RNA, 468 nt
Filed under: uncultured bacterium
Lineage: Bacteria
Description: partial 16S ribosomal RNA
Rfam family: Bacterial small subunit ribosomal RNA
Source: RNAcentral
GACGAACGCUGGCGGCGUGCUUAACACAUGCAAGUCGAACGGAAAGGCCCUGCUUUUGUGGGGUGCUCGAGUGGCGAACGGGUGAGUAACAAGUGAGUAACCUGCCCUUGACUUUGGGAUAACUUCAGGAAACUGGGGCUAAUACCGGAUAGGAGCUCCUGCUGCAUGGUGGGGGUUGGAAAGUUUCGGCGGUUGGGGAUGGACUCGCGGCUUAUCAGCUUGUUGGUGGGGUAGUGGCUUACCAAGGCUUUGACGGGUAGCCGGCCUGAGAGGGUGACCGGCCACAUUGGGACUGAGAGACGGCCCAGACUCCUACGGGAGGCAGCAGUGGGGAAUAUUGCACAAUGGGCGGAAGCCUGAGGCAGCAACGCCGCGUGCGGGAUGACGGCCUUCGGGUUGUAAACCGCUUUCGCCUGUGACGAAGCGUGAGUGACGGUAAUGGGUAAAGAAGCACCGGCUAACUACGUG